GACGAACGCUGGCGGCGUGCUUAACACAUGCAAGUCGAACGGAAAGGCCUGCUUUCCCUUGUGGAUUGCGGGUACUCGAGUGGCGAACGGGUGAGUAACACGUGAGUGAUCUGCCCCCAACUUGGGUAUAAGCCUGGGAAACUGGGUCUAAUUCCCGAUAGGACUGCAGGGUGGUGCCUGUGGUGGAAAACGAUUUUCUAGUGGUUGGGGAUGAGCUCGCGGCCUAUCAGCUUGGUGGUGGGGGAAUGGCCUACCAAGGCGGCGACGGGUAGCCGGCCUGGGAGGGUGGACGGCCACAUUGGGACUGAGAUACGGCCCAGACUCCUCCGGGAGGCAGCAGUGGGGAAUAUUGCACAAUGGGCGGAAGCCUGAUGCAGCGACGCCGCGUGGGGGAUGACGGCCUUCGGGUUGUAAACUCCUUUCGACCGCGAGGAAGCCACCUGGUUGGAAGGGUGGUGACGGUAGUGGUAGAAGAAGCACCGGCUAACUACGUG
RNAcentral lists this ribosomal RNA (494 nucleotides) under uncultured bacterium. Its description in RNAcentral is "partial 16S ribosomal RNA". It matches the Rfam family "Bacterial small subunit ribosomal RNA", at positions 28 to 507 of the family's 1533-position model. The record is from RNAcentral.